GCGUGGCAGAGGCCGCUCGCGAAGCGCUGCUUUGCUCUGCAAGGUUCCUCAAGAGAAGGGACCUGGAGAAGCUGCUGAGGAGAGAGCAGCACUUCAAAUUCUGUGAUUGCCUGAUGGACAAGGACGUGAGUGGAAG
This is a long non-coding RNA of Empidonax traillii (willow flycatcher), 136 nucleotides long. RefSeq lists it as uncharacterized. The transcript has 3 exons. The record is from RefSeq and is a predicted model, not a curated record. NCBI's taxonomy places the organism in Eukaryota, Metazoa, Chordata, Aves, Passeriformes, Tyrannidae.